UUCGCGCGGGCCGGUUGGGUCGCUUGCCUCGCGUCUAGGCCACGUCUGGUUCGCUGAUUGGACAUGAAUGGGUGUGAGGUGAGACAAAAUCAGAGCCCCCUGGAACAAACCCUAGCCAUUCGCGUGCAGCCGCCGCCUCUGUCUGCCUCCUCCUCUUGCCCCGCACCCCCAUCCCAGCCGCCACCUCCCUGCUCCGGCUGGUCCUCUGCGCCGUUCCGGUGCCGCUCCGCCUCCCUGGCCACCCGCCCUUCUCCUUCUCCCUUUCUCCGUCUUCAACCCCCAGCCUUCGCGUGACCGCGCCACUCCGCCUCCUUGGACGACCGCCGGCCAACAGGAGCAGCGCAUCGACGGCGCAAGCAGGAGGGGCUGCUCGAGCUCCGCCCUAGAUGGAGAUGGCGGGGCGUGCCGGCAGCGCCUCGAGCUCCACCUCGAUCUACUGCCUCGCUGCCAAGCAGCACCAGAGGGAGAUGCUUCUCUGUAGACACAGAGACGGACGGUAAUGUCGAGUCGAGAUGGGCUGAACUCCGAACAACAUGAGAGAGGGUGCCGAUCUUUAGAUGAGGAGCAAACACAUUUAUCAAAAGAGAAACUCUCAUCUCAAAGUUAGGCAGGAAAAGAAGAGAAUGAACUUGACCAGCCAGAAAAAGGCUUCUGAACAUUCACACAAUGGAAAUGUAGUGGUGCCUUUGAGAUUGCCUCCAGAGUUGGAUGUCAGAGUGUGCAAAGCAUUGACAGGUUGAAGCUAUAGGAGAGUCAGAUCGUCAAUGUCUCUGCCACUGCCAUAACCACAGACUAAAACCGAGAGAUUACUUGGAAGGGAACCACUGAUCCCUUUGAGAGUGGAUAUCAUCAGCGGCAUGACAUGGCACGGGAAGCAGCAACCAAAACAAGGCAAGGCCAGAUGUCUUGAGCAUCACGAGGCGUGUUGCCUGGUGUUGCAGCGUCACCCUAUCGGUGGAGCACGCUGAGCCUGUCGGCACCCAUCAUCCAAGCUGACGCCGGCGAUGAGAAAUUAUCCGGAGCUUAGGCGCCCAAAUCCUCAACCAAUCAGAUGUAGCUGGCAGCAUCUCCGCGGUCUCUGAUGUUGUGCUCACUGUCCCGGGAAGGACAAUUGGUGAAGCAAGGAGGGAUGUGCUCCUUUUCGACACAAGAUGUAGCUGGCAGCAUCUUUGCAAUCUCUUAUGUUGUGUUCACGUUCCCAGGAAGGACCAUUUGUGAAGCAAGGAGGGAUGUUCUUAUUUUCGACACAAGGUGGACUACUGAUUCGUAUCCUAUGCUUCCUUUGUAGAUACAUUUGAUUACCAAAGGUUUGGGUGAUCUAGCCAUUUGGUCCUUCUGCAACUAAAUGUGCUAAAUGGUUCCAUUAAAGUUGUUUCCAAGGAAGUAGAAUGGAUUGACUAGCUUUUCUAUACUUAUGCUGAUAGCUCAUCUGGCAUGAUUGACCCAGAAGGCAUCAAAAUUAUUUCCUCUCAUCUUGAGUUUCCCCAUACCGAGGCUCGGAUUUUGAUGUUAGCAUGGAAAAUGGAAAAUGGGCUGUAAAGCAAGGUUAUUUACUCUGGUGUGCAUUAUUUUUAAACUGUUAAAAAUGUUUAUCUCUAUAAUAUCAUAGUCAUUUUGAAGUUUUACUGGCAUGAAAGCUCUGUGAGCUGAUAGUAUUAGUAAGCUGAAGAAGUCAUUCCCUGAACUAACCCAAGAAGUGAGUAGUCCAUAAGUAUGUAAUUAGUAGUUAAUUAUAUUUGAAAGGUUUAUAUUUGUCAAGGGUGAAAUAACAGCUGAAUGUUUGGGUUAAUAGAUAGGUUGUAAGUAUGUAACUUGCGUUGUUGUCGGGGCUUAGAUAUUUUGCCUGAAAGGUUGUCAUGCAGUUUCAGCCCACAAUUUAAUGUUUAAUUGUCUGUAAGUUCAGUGCCACAGAUCAGCUGCAAGUGAGUAUCCAUCGUCUCUAUCUACUUUAGAUGAUAUACUCUGCUUUCACUUGCCUAUGACGUUUCUACGCUGGGCUCAAGGCUUUGUUCUAUUACAUGUGAAAGGCUCGCGGUUUAUCUGAACAAAACAAAUGGAUGGUGUUACUUGGAUUUUUUAUGGAGAUUUGAAAGACGCUUCUUACCCCUUAACUGACAUUGUCUUUAAUUGCAUGCCUUUUUUGUAUUAGGUGCUAAUUGAGAACCAUUGGGAACUUUUAUCGAGGUGAGAUUGUGUAGACCAUUUGUCUGAGUAGUGUCUAUCUGCAAGACACGUUUCUUACAAUGCUACUGCUAGGUGUAAUAUAUUUUCAUACAAUCUCCGUGUCUACUUACUCUCUGUCUGUUUAUCAUUUGCGCUGUGCGGGGCUUGCGCAGCAAGCCACUCCCAAAAUAUGGCUUCUUUUGCAUCGAAAAAAUAGCGAAUCCAUUCCUGCAUAGUACUGGCAACUCUAAUUAGUUCAAUACUGGAAAAGUACAGUAUAUUAUUCUGCCAUAUUUUAAUUGGAAAGUGCUAGCAACUGAAUGGUUGGUGUCAUAUUGACUUUUAUCCUCUCAAUUUCUUCUGUAUUUUUAUUUUGAUGAGAAAAGAAAUUGCCAUCAAAUCAGAGAUGAGCCUCAAGUUCCAAUUUUCUGAAAUAAAAUUAUUGUGUUGUUCCAUUUUCUUAGAUAAUAGUUGUUUCAGAUGGAAAAUUUAAGAGUUCCUUCUCCUAUCGCACAAAAUGUAUUUUGGGAUUGCUGGUGCGCUUUUGCCUCUUAUGGAUAACUUGGCGGUAUCCAAUAUGUUCUUAAACCAAUACUCCAAUAUUUUUCCUGCUUAUUGGCCAAUUCUUCUAAGUUUUUUUAUAGGAAUGGUGACUCUGGAUUUAUAACUGCUGAGCAUCUAUGUAUAUGCAUCUUUUAUAUUGUGAUAGCAAGAUAGUUUAUAUUUUGUAAUGUGUCUGUCAACCCAUAAGCAGGAUGCUCCUUGCUUCUGGGGACAUAUUGGUAUGGUUGAUCAGCCAAUAUUUUUCCUGCUUAUUCGCCAAUUUUUCUUAGUUUUUUUAUAGGAAUGGUGACUCUGGAUUUAUAACCGCUCAACACCUAUGUAUACGCAUCUUUUAUAUUGUGAUAGCAAGAUAGUUUUUAUUCUUUAAUGUGUCUAUCAACCAUAUGAAGUGGGGGUUGCUUAGGCCCUCAUUUUUUAAUGUGCUUUAUAAUUUAGCAAAGUAACUACAGUAAGUGCAUCAUGACCAAGUAUUCUGCUUUUUAAAGCGCUUUUCAUUCCUAACUAGACUUAGGAACUAAAUAUAUGUUGUGUUCCCUUCAACAAUAUGCGAUUGUGUUUUUUGUUGUUGUUGGUGUUGUACACAUUAGUAAGAGAUAUUUAGCGUAUAUUUUCUUCAUAUAGAUUUUGAUUCCUAACAGAAUCUGGGCUACUGUCUGCUUCAGAUUGAAUAUGCCAGUGUAUUUCUGCUGGUGUUGUCACUAGAAAGUUAUAUUUUUACUUCAGAUAUAGUGUUAAGUGAUUCAGGAAUCAAGGGUGAAAAUUACAAGCUGCAAUAUGGAAUGAGGUUGAUGAUCUUAUGAAAGAUACGCAACAACUGGUCAUCAUGGCUAAAAGGGAUGACGUAUCUUCCCGUCUUCUGCCGUCACACCCUGUCUAUGAGCAUGAAGAUAGCUUGGCAAGCAUAAUUCCAUCCUCCUUGACUUUGAGGCCAACCACUCUCAAAGUGAGAUCCACGUCUUCGAAUUCAACAUAGAUUAUGAGAUUGGUUCAAAUCCCACGGGAUCGCGCCGCCCACCCGGUUCUUUUUUGGUCAAUUGUGUCGUUUGGUUUGCGAUUUCCGUACGAGGAAUCAACCAUGCAAGUUGUGCGCCUAUUGCAGGGUUUCUAUGGGUUCGUGGUUCGUGACUAAAACUACUAGGGAAUGCAUGCCUAUAGGAACCUUGCGCUGUAUGUUCUUGCGGGUUCUUAGUUCGGAUGACCGUGUCUCGUGUUUGUGUUGUUAGCUCUAUAGAUCCUCUUAUUGAGUCGGUGUGCUGUCAGAUAAUAUGUAAUCGGCUUAAUUUUCUAUGUCCUUUGUGCCAUGAGUUUUAAAGACCAUGCUGGACAUGUAGAUGAUGAUUUUGGUGUUCACUUAUUUUUGUUCCUCUUGGCAUAAUCAACAACCAUUAGUUUGCUCUUGGCAGAAUCAACUGGUGGUAUAUAAAUGAAUGAUUUUCUAUUUGUAAUUUAGUGUGGUUCGCUAUAUUUUGUAAAACCUAAGAAGAUGUAUUAUCAUUUUACCUCCUACAAUGAGUCUUACGGGAU
Non-coding RNA from Lolium perenne, 4251 nucleotides. The record is from RefSeq and is a predicted model, not a curated record. Lineage: Eukaryota; Viridiplantae; Streptophyta; Magnoliopsida; Poales; Poaceae.